Molecule: non-coding RNA, 244 nt
Organism: Cinara cedri
Lineage: Eukaryota; Metazoa; Arthropoda; Insecta; Hemiptera; Aphididae
Source: the annotation of a GenBank genome assembly
CCUCCUAUUUUGAGUAUUAAGUAUAGAAUAAUAUUAAAAUGUUACGUAUAAUAUACAAUGACAUAUCAAAGUAUAGUAACUAUAUUUCUACUUCAACUGUACUAUUUCUAGAAAAAACUUUGAAAUUUGAGAUAACAAAAAAAGAACUAAUACUGAGGGCAGGUACAGCCACUGUUGUAGGUGGAAAGUUGGGGAGGUAAGAUACAUAUGGUUAUUUAAUUUAUAUCUAUAAGCAACGAUAAAC